UCCCUAGUGGUCCAGUGAUUAGGACUCGACACUUUCACUGCCAAUGAUGUGGGUUCCAUCCCUAGUUGGGGAA
RNAcentral lists this transfer RNA (73 nucleotides) under Bos taurus (domestic cattle). It matches the Rfam family "tRNA". From Rfam's summary of the family: Transfer RNA (tRNA) molecules are approximately 80 nucleotides in length. Their secondary structure includes four short double-helical elements and three loops (D, anti-codon, and T loops). Lineage: Eukaryota; Metazoa; Chordata; Mammalia; Artiodactyla; Bovidae. RNAcentral also lists the same sequence under 2 other names. The record is from Rfam by way of RNAcentral.